AACGAACGCUGGCGGCAGGCCUAACACAUGCAAGUCGAACGGACGUAGCAAUACGUUAGUGGCUCACGGGAGAGUAACGCGUGGGAACCUACCUUUUGGUUCGGGAUAACAUCGGGAAACUGGUGCUAAUACCGGAUAAGCCCUUCGGGGGAAAGAUUUAUUGCCGAAAGAUGGGCACGCGUUGGAUUAGCUAGUUGGUGAGGUAAUGGCUCACCAGGGCAACGAUCCAUAGCUGGGCUGAGAGGAUGAUCAGCCUCACUGGGACUGAGACACGGCCCAGACUCCUACGGGAGGCAGCAGUGGGGAAUAUUGGACAAUGGGGGAAACCCUGAUCCAGCCAUGCCGCGUGAAUGAUGAAGGCAUUCGGGUUGUAAAGUUCUUUUGGUGGGGACGAUGAUGACGGUACCCACAGAAUAAGCUCCGGCUAACUUCGUGCCAGCCGCCGCAGUAA
Molecule: ribosomal RNA, 451 nt
Filed under: uncultured bacterium
Lineage: Bacteria
Description: partial 16S ribosomal RNA
Rfam family: Bacterial small subunit ribosomal RNA
Source: RNAcentral